Molecule: ribosomal RNA, 253 nt
Filed under: uncultured bacterium
Lineage: Bacteria
Description: partial 16S ribosomal RNA
Rfam family: Bacterial small subunit ribosomal RNA
Source: RNAcentral
UACGUAGGGGGCGAGCGUUGUCCGGAGUUACUGGGCGUAAAGGGCAUGCAGGCGGUCGGACGCGUUUUGUGUGACAGCGGGUGGCUCAACUACGCGAGCAUACGAAAGACGGUUUGACUUGAGGGCUCGAGAGGGACACGGAAUUCCGGGUGGAGUGGUGAAAUGCGUAGAGAUCCGGAGGAACACCGAAGGCGAAGGCAGUGUCCUGGCUGGUGACUGACGCUGAGGUGCGAAAGCUAGGGGAGCGAACGGG